GAUGAACGCUAGCGGCAGGCCUAACACAUGCAAGUCGAGGGGUAACAGAAAAAGCUUGCUUUUUGCUGACGACCGGCGCACGGGUGCGUAACGCGUAUGCAACCUACCUCUUACUGGAGGAUAGCCCGAAGAAAUUCGGAUUAAGACUCCAUAGUAUGUACGAUUCGCAUGUUUUGUACAUUAAAGGUUACGGUAAGAGAUGGGCAUGCGUCCCAUUAGCUAGAUGGUAAGGUAACGGCUUACCAUGGCAACGAUGGGUAGGGGGCCUGAGAGGGUGAUCCCCCACACUGGUACUGAGACACGGACCAGACUCCUACGGGAGGCAGCAGUGAGGAAUAUUGGACAAUGGGCGCAAGCCUGAUCCAGCCAUGCCGCGUGCAGGAAGAAUGCCCUAUGGGUUGUAAACUGCUUUUAUUUGGGAAUAAACCUCCUUACGUGUAGGGAGCUGAAUGUACCAAACGAAUAAGCACCGGCUAACUCCGUGCCAGC
This 489-nucleotide ribosomal RNA is filed under the name uncultured bacterium. RNAcentral's name for it is "bacterial SSU rRNA". It matches the Rfam family "Bacterial small subunit ribosomal RNA", at positions 28 to 512 of the family's 1533-position model. The record is from RNAcentral.